This 409-nucleotide ribosomal RNA is filed under the name Actinomycetes bacterium. RNAcentral's name for it is "Actinobacteria bacterium partial 16S ribosomal RNA". It matches the Rfam family "Bacterial small subunit ribosomal RNA", at positions 355 to 776 of the family's 1533-position model. Lineage: Bacteria; Bacillati; Actinomycetota; Actinomycetes. The record is from RNAcentral.
UGGGGAAUAUUGCACAAUGGGCGGAAGCCUGAUGCAGCGACGCCGCGUGGGGGAUGAAGGCCUUCGGGUUGUAAACUCCUUUCGACAGGGACGAAGCUUUUGUGACGGUACCUGUAUAAGAAGCACCGGCUAACUACGUGCCAGCAGCCGCGGUAAUACGUAGGGUGCGAGCGUUGUCCGGAAUUACUGGGCGUAAAGAGCUCGUAGGUGGUUUGUCGCGUCGUCUGUGAAAUUCCGGGGCUUAACUCCGGGCGUGCAGGCGAUACGGGCUGACUUGAGUGCUGUAGGGGAGACUGGAAUUCCUGGUGUAGCGGUGAAAUGCGCAGAUAUCAGGAGGAACACCGAUGGCGAAGGCAGGUCUCUGGGCCGUUACUGACACUGAGAAGCGAAAGCAUGGGGAGCGAACAGG